AGUGAACGCUGGCGGUAGGCCUAACACAUGCAAGUCGAACGGCAGCACAGUAAGAGCUUGCUCUUACGGGUGGCGAGUGGCGGACGGGUGAGGAAUACAUCGGAGUCUACUUUUUCGUGGGGGAUAACGUAGGGAAACUUACGCUAAUACCGCAUACGACCUACGGGUGAAAGCAGGGGAUCUUCGGACCUUGCGCGAUUGAAUGAGCCGAUGUCGGAUUAGCUAGUUGGCGGGGUAAAGGCCCACCAAGGCGACGAUCCGUAGCUGGUCUGAGAGGAUGAUCAGCCACACUGGAACUGAGACACGGUCCAGACUCCUACGGGAGGCAGCAGUGGGGAAUAUUGGACAAUGGGCGCAAGCCUGAUCCAGCCAUACCGCGUGGGUGAAGAAGGCCUUCGGGUUGUAAAGCCCUUUUGUUGGGAAAGAAAAGCAGCAGGUUAAUACCCCGCUGUUCUGACGGUACUCAAAGAAUAAGCACCGGCUAACUUCGUG
Molecule: ribosomal RNA, 492 nt
Filed under: uncultured bacterium
Lineage: Bacteria
Description: partial 16S ribosomal RNA
Rfam family: Bacterial small subunit ribosomal RNA
Source: RNAcentral